GUGACCUCAAAUCAGGCAGGACUACCCGCUGAACUUAAGCAUAUCAAUAAGCGGAGGAAAAGAAACUAACAAGGAUUCCCCUAGUAUCUGCGAGUGAAGCGGGAAAAGCUCAAAUUUAAAAUCUGGCAGUCUUAUGGCUGUCCGAGUUGUAAUCUAGAGAAGUGUUAUCCGCGCUGGACCGUGUACAAGUCUCCUGGAAUGGAGCAUCAUAGAGGGUGAGAAUCCCGUCUUUGACAUGGACUACCAGGGCUUUGUGAUGCGCUCUCAAAGAGUCGAGUUGUUUGGGAAUGCAGCUCAAAAUGGGUGGUAAAUUCCAUCUAAAGCUAAAUAUUGGCGAGAGACCGAUAGCGAACAAGUACCGUGAGGGAAAGAUGAAAAGAACUUUGGAAAGAGAGUUAAACAGUACGUGAAAUUGCUGAAAGGGAAACGCUUGAAGUCAGUCGCGUCAUCCAGGGAUCAACCUUGCUUUUGCUUGGUGCACUUUCUGGUUUGAUGGGUCAGCAUCAAUUUUGACCAUUGGAAAAAGGCUGAGGGAAUGUGGCAUCUUUGGAUGUGUUAUAGCCCUUGGUCACAUACAAUGGUUGGGAUUGAGG
Molecule: ribosomal RNA, 593 nt
Filed under: Cortinarius angelesianus
Lineage: Eukaryota; Fungi; Basidiomycota; Agaricomycetes; Agaricales; Cortinariaceae
Description: eukaryotic LSU rRNA
Rfam family: Eukaryotic large subunit ribosomal RNA
Source: RNAcentral